UCAAUUUUGGUUAUUCAAAUAAUUCUAGAAUUAUCACAUGCUCUCAGAAUGAUCUAUCUAAAUAACAGAAUUCCUAUUUAAAAAAGUAUAUAUUUAAACUUUUUUUAUACUUGUUAUCAAUAAGUAAGAUCAGUUGUUUUUGCUUUUUAUUUAUUCAAAUUCCCUGAUCAAAUCCUCCAUUUGCAUAACACAUUUCUAUCUUCAGUUUAACAUCAAUUUCAGUGCUUAAUAAUAAAUAAGGCGCACAAUCUUCUCUAGCUGUACUAGAAUCUUCAUGUUAUUUUGUGAUAAUUUGUGUGCUGCUAUAUUGGACAAAAUAUUCAGAAAAAUUAAAGUUUAAGCAAACUAUAUAAAAAAAGCCAAUUUUGGAACAAAACAAAGCUAUUUCAGGAUAUUAAUGGAAACAAUUUAUUUAAAAUUUGAAAAAUAAUAAUAACAAAUCUCUUCAAAUAAGAGAUUCUCGGAUUCAGAAUUACAUUGCUGUUGUAAAUACAUAGGAAACCAAAGCAAAUCGAUUAUUCAAAUUUAAUUUAUUUCAAUAAAAACAAAACUGUAAAUGUUUGUGCUUUCAGGUGAUCUUUGUUAACCUUAACCGUAUUCAUGUUCUAACUUUGAUUAAGGUCGCCAACUAUUUGAAAUACUCACUAAAGUCCUUAGUGACUCAUAAAUCCUAUUAUGAGUCACUAAGACUCAUAAAUACAUUUCUGAAGGAAACUGUUAGGUUGGUAGGAAAAAAACUAUUUUAACUACUUUAGUCAUAUAUGGCAUUGUUCUCUAAUAUUCACACAUAAAAUAUAACACAAAAAUUAAAACUAGAUUGACUAGUAAAAGCUCCAGAUUUUAAUCAUAUGAUCUUAUACACUAAACAAAGACGAAUUAAUGAAUGUUCUGAAUGUUGCUUAAUUUGCACAUGGUCUUCUUUUAUGAUAACUACAUCUUCUUAUUCUAUCCCAGAUGGCAUUUGCAGCCGCGGAGACUGUUCCAUCCUUUGUCUCUUCCAGCACUCUCAUCAGAGGCACUUUACGACGAGGUCCAAGGAAAAGGAGAGGCAUGUGCUAGUUCUCCCACUUGAAAAACACGGGUGCCAACAGCAGCUAAAACGACUGUGGGGCCAGUUCUCUUUUUUAACCGCUUUUUAAAAAUAAGAACAACAAAAGACGACAAUGUUUAAUGUUCAGCUUCAG
Molecule: long non-coding RNA, 1184 nt
Filed under: Equus caballus (horse)
Lineage: Eukaryota; Metazoa; Chordata; Mammalia; Perissodactyla; Equidae
Description: lncRNA (ENSECAG00000054850.1)
Source: RNAcentral